Molecule: ribosomal RNA, 510 nt
Filed under: uncultured bacterium
Lineage: Bacteria
Description: bacterial SSU rRNA
Rfam family: Bacterial small subunit ribosomal RNA
Source: RNAcentral
GACGAACGCUGGCGGCGUGCCUAACACAUGCAAGUCGAGCGGAGUCGAUCGACGGAAGCCUUCGGGCGGAAGAUGGUUGACUUAGCGGCGGAUGGGUGAGUAACGCGUGGGGCAACCUGCCUCGAAGACCGGGAUAACAGCCCGAAAGGGCUGCUAAUACCGGAUGUGGUCAAGGAUCCGCAUGGAUUUUUGAUUAAAGGGGAAACCCGUUUCGAGAUGGGCCCGCGUCCUAUCAGCUAGUUGGUGAGGUAAAAGCUCACCAAGGCGACGACGGGUAGCCGGCCUGAGAGGGUGACCGGCCACACUGGAACUGAGACACGGUCCAGACUCCUACGGGGGGCAGCAGUGGGGAAUCUUCCACAAUGGGCGAAAGCCUGAUGGAGCGACGCCGCGUGAGCGAAGAAGGCCUUCGGGUUGUAAAGCUCUGUCUGGAGGGACGAAGGAAGUGACGGUACCUCCGGAGGAAGCCACGGCUAACUACGUGCCAGCAGCCGCGGUAACACGAGAGUA